This 477-nucleotide ribosomal RNA is filed under the name uncultured bacterium. RNAcentral's name for it is "bacterial SSU rRNA". It matches the Rfam family "Bacterial small subunit ribosomal RNA", at positions 28 to 506 of the family's 1533-position model. The record is from RNAcentral.
AUUGAACGCUGGCGGCAUGCUUUACACAUGCAAGUCGAGCGGCAGCGCGGGGGCAACCCUGGCGGCGAGCGGCGAACGGGUGAGUAAUGCAUCGGAACGUACCCUGGAGUGGGGGAUAACGCCGCGAAAGCGGCGCUAAUACCGCAUAUGCUCUGAGGAGGAAAGUGGGGGACCGCAAGGCCUCACGCUCUGGGAGCGGCCGAUGUCCGAUUAGCUAGUUGGUGGGGUAAAGGCUUACCAAGGCGACGAUCGGUAGCUGGUCUGAGAGGAUGAUCAGCCACACUGGGACUGAGACACGGCCCAGACUCCUACGGGAGGCAGCAGUGGGGAAUUUUGGACAAUGGGGGCAACCCUGAUCCAGCCAUGCCGCGUGAGUGAAGAAGGCCUCGGUUGUAAGACUCUUUGGUCGGAGAAGCGCUUGCCUAAUACGCGAGGUGGUUGACGGUACCGGCGAGAAUAAGCACCGGCUAACUACGU